Molecule: transfer RNA, 86 nt
Filed under: Armillaria borealis
Lineage: Eukaryota; Fungi; Basidiomycota; Agaricomycetes; Agaricales; Physalacriaceae
Rfam family: tRNA
About the family: Transfer RNA (tRNA) molecules are approximately 80 nucleotides in length.
Source: Rfam by way of RNAcentral
GGCCGACUAGCUCAGUUGGUUAGAGCGUCGUGCUAAUAUCAAUGUAUAUAACGCGAAGGUCUUGGGUUCGAUCCCCACGUUGGCCA